This 449-nucleotide ribosomal RNA is filed under the name Pseudomonas sp. AE_89. RNAcentral's name for it is "bacterial SSU rRNA". It matches the Rfam family "Bacterial small subunit ribosomal RNA", at positions 20 to 468 of the family's 1533-position model. The record is from RNAcentral. Lineage: Bacteria; Pseudomonadati; Pseudomonadota; Gammaproteobacteria; Pseudomonadales; Pseudomonadaceae.
CGGCUCAGAUUGAACGCUGGCGGCAGGCCUAACACAUGCAAGUCGAGCGGAUGACGGGAGCUUGCUCCUUGAUUCAGCGGCGGACGGGUGAGUAAUGCCUAGGAAUCUGCCUGGUAGUGGGGGACAACGUUUCGAAAGGAACGCUAAUACCGCAUACGUCCUACGGGAGAAAGCAGGGGACCUUCGGGCCUUGCGCUAUCAGAUGAGCCUAGGUCGGAUUAGCUAGUUGGUGGGGUAAUGGCUCACCAAGGCGACGAUCCGUAACUGGUCUGAGAGGAUGAUCAGUCACACUGGAACUGAGACACGGUCCAGACUCCUACGGGAGGCAGCAGUGGGGAAUAUUGGACAAUGGGCGAAAGCCUGAUCCAGCCAUGCCGCGUGUGUGAAGAAGGUCUUCGGAUUAAUAAAGCACUUUAAGUUGGGAGGAAGGGCAGAUAAGUAUAAUAUCC